UAUGUGAAAAGGGACUUUAAGGACUACAACGGAUUGUAAUGAGCUAAACUUGCUGAUGGAAAGUACCAAAGAGGAUCUGAACUAACCAACAAAUCCAACAAGACCAGCAACAACAAAAACAUGUUUCCUCUUAAAGCGAUAGCUGUGAAAGACCACUGAACUGCAGGAGGGUUACAGUGCUGUUCAAAGACUCUGGAUUGGCUGUCUUGGAGUCCCUAUACCCGUCAUGUUAAAACAGCCUGCAAAGGAACAAUCACAACGAUUCAUUUCAUCCCAUCCCUGACACGCAAUUAAAAACAUAUCAGCUUCAAGUGGACUCAAACUAAACCCAAUGAAUGGCUCUGCUGUAGUCAUCUGUGCUCAAGGAACAUCUUUUGGUGCAACCAUCACCAGAGUUUCAGCAAGACAAUGGACUCCGGAUCCAGAUUCCUGUAGUUCCUCUUGUUGACCAGACUUUCCUCACAAGGCAUGUGCUGAAAACCACAGCUCUGCCCAACACAGUUUCAUAUUACCAGUCAGGCACCAUCAUCUGCAGGGGUGACAAAAACUAAC
Acipenser ruthenus (sterlet) is the source of this 552-nucleotide long non-coding RNA. RefSeq lists it as uncharacterized. The record is from RefSeq and is a predicted model, not a curated record. The transcript is spliced from 5 exons. Lineage: Eukaryota; Metazoa; Chordata; Actinopteri; Acipenseriformes; Acipenseridae.